UAUCAAUAAGCGGAGGAAAAGAAACUAACAAGGAUUCCCCUAGUAACGGCGAGUGAAGCGGCAACAGCUCAAAUUUGAAAUCUGGCUCUUUUAGAGUCCGAGUUGUAAUUUGCAGAGGGCGCUUUGGCUUUGGCAGCGGUCCAAGUUCCUUGGAACAGGACGUCACAGAGGGUGAGAAUCCCGUACGUGGUCGCUGGCUAUUGCCGUGUAAAGCCCCUUCGACGAGUCGAGUUGUUUGGGAAUGCAGCUCAAAAUGGGUGGUGAGUUCCAUCUAAAGCUAAAUAUUGGCGAGAGACCGA
RNAcentral lists this ribosomal RNA (299 nucleotides) under Conticribra weissflogii. RNAcentral describes it as "partial Eukaryotic large subunit ribosomal RNA". It matches the Rfam family "Eukaryotic large subunit ribosomal RNA", at positions 41 to 337 of the family's 3401-position model. The record is from RNAcentral. Lineage: Eukaryota; Bacillariophyta; Thalassiosirophyceae; Thalassiosirales; Thalassiosiraceae.